Molecule: ribosomal RNA, 440 nt
Filed under: uncultured bacterium
Lineage: Bacteria
Description: partial 16S ribosomal RNA
Rfam family: Bacterial small subunit ribosomal RNA
Source: RNAcentral
CCUACGGGAGGCAGCAGUGGGGGAUAUUGCACAAUGGGGGAAACCCUGAUGCAGCGACGCCGCGUGUGGGAAGACGGUCUUCUGGAUUGUAAACCACUGUCCCCAGGGACGAAAAUGACGGUACCUGGGGAGGAAGCUCCGGCUAACUACGUGCCAGCAGCCGCGGUAAUACGUAGGAAGCAAGCGUUGUCCGGAAUUACUGGGUGUAAAGGGAGCGUAGGCGGGGAUGCAAGUUGGGUGUCAAAACUACCGGCUCAACCGAUAGUCGCACUCAAAACUGCAGCGCUUGAGUGAAGUAGAGGCAGGCGGAAGUCCUAGUGGAGCGGUGAAAUGCGUAGAUAUUAGGAGGAACACCAGUGGCGAAGGCGGCCUGCUGGGCUUUUACUGACGCUGAGGCUCGAAAGUGUGGGGAGCAAACAGGAUUAGAUACCCGUGUAGUC